GUCAACUACCUCGGCCUAAAGGCCGAGGCUUGAAAAAAGCCUCUGGUUGACUAGCCUCAGUCUGCCUUACAGCAGACUACGUUGGUUGGGAAUAUAUAGGCACCGCGGGAUGUCGAUCCUAGUUCCGCGCUCUGC
RNAcentral lists this small RNA (135 nucleotides) under Parasutterella secunda. RNAcentral's name for it is "HNH endonuclease-associated RNA and ORF (HEARO) RNA". It matches the Rfam family "HNH endonuclease-associated RNA and ORF (HEARO) RNA", at positions 1 to 128 of the family's 211-position model. The record is from RNAcentral. Lineage: Bacteria; Pseudomonadati; Pseudomonadota; Betaproteobacteria; Burkholderiales; Sutterellaceae.